UACGGAGGGUGCGAGCGUUAAUCGGAAUUACUGGGCGUAAAGCGCACGCAGGCGGUUUGUUAAGCUAGAUGUGAAAGCCCCGGGCUCAACCUGGGAUGGUCAUUUAGAACUGGCAGACUAGAGUCUUGGAGAGGGGAGUGGAAUUCCAGGUGUAGCGGUGAAAUGCGUAGAUAUCUGGAGGAACAUCAGUGGCGAAGGCGACUCCCUGGCCAAAGACUGACGCCGAUGUGCGAAAGUGUGGGUAGCGAACAGG
This 253-nucleotide ribosomal RNA is filed under the name uncultured bacterium. Its description in RNAcentral is "partial 16S ribosomal RNA". It matches the Rfam family "Bacterial small subunit ribosomal RNA", at positions 524 to 776 of the family's 1533-position model. The record is from RNAcentral.